Molecule: ribosomal RNA, 480 nt
Filed under: uncultured bacterium
Lineage: Bacteria
Description: SSU rRNA
Rfam family: Bacterial small subunit ribosomal RNA
Source: RNAcentral
AGGAUGAACGCUGGCGGCGUGCCUAACACAUGCAAGUCGAACGUCCUGUCUCGCAAGAGGCAGGGAGUGGCGGACGGGUGAGUACCACGUGGGUUAUCUACCGUGAGGUGAGGAAUACCGGCGAGAAAUCGCCGACAAGACCGCAUAGCCUCGGUGCAAGCCGAGGAAAGCUUUCUCGAGAGAGGGAGCGCCACACGAGGAGCCUGCGCCCGAUUAGCUAGCUGGUGGAGUAACGGUUCACCAGGGCGACGAUCGGUAGCUGGUCUGAGAGGACGAUCAGCCACACUGGGAUUGAGAACGGCCCAGACUCCUACGGGGGGCAGCAGUGAGGAAUUUUCGUCAAUGGGGGCAACCCUGAACGAGCAACGCCGCGUGCAGGAAGAAGGUUUUCGGAUCGUAAACUGCUUUUCGUCGGGGAAGAGAACGGACGGUACCCGAGGAAUCGAGCCCCGGCUAACUACGUGCCAGCAGCCGCGGUAA